UACGAAGGGGGCUAGCGUUGCUCGGAAUCACUGGGCGUAAAGGGCGCGUAGGCGGCCUGCUCAGUCGGACGUGAAAUCCCUCGGCUCAACCGAGGAACUGCGUCCGAUACUGGUGGGCUUGAAUCCGGGAGAGGGAUGUGGAAUUCCAGGUGUAGCGGUGAAAUGCGUAGAUAUCUGGAGGAACACCGGUGGCGAAGGCGGCAUCCUGGACCGGUAUUGACGCUGAGGCGCGAAAGCUAGGGGAGCAAACGGG
RNAcentral lists this ribosomal RNA (253 nucleotides) under uncultured bacterium. RNAcentral describes it as "partial 16S ribosomal RNA". It matches the Rfam family "Bacterial small subunit ribosomal RNA", at positions 524 to 776 of the family's 1533-position model. The record is from RNAcentral.